Molecule: ribosomal RNA, 427 nt
Filed under: uncultured Streptococcus sp.
Lineage: Bacteria; Bacillati; Bacillota; Bacilli; Lactobacillales; Streptococcaceae
Description: bacterial SSU rRNA
Rfam family: Bacterial small subunit ribosomal RNA
Source: RNAcentral
AGUAGGGAAUCUUCGGCAAUGGGGGCAACCCUGACCGAGCAACGCCGCGUGAGUGAAGAAGGUUUUCGGAUCGUAAAGCUCUGUUGUAAGUCAAGAACGGGUGUGAGAGUGGAAAGUUCACACUGUGACGGUAGCUUACCAGAAAGGGACGGCUAACUACGUGCCAGCAGCCGCGGUAAUACGUAGGUCCCGAGCGUUGUCCGGAUUUAUUGGGCGUAAAGCGAGCGCAGGCGGUUUGAUAAGUCUGAAGUUAAAGGCUGUGGCUCAACCAUAGUUCGCUUUGGAAACUGUCAAACUUGAGUGCAGAAGGGGAGAGUGGAAUUCCAUGUGUAGCGGUGAAAUGCGUAGAUAUAUGGAGGAACACCGGUGGCGAAAGCGGCUCUCUGGUCUGUAACUGACGCUGAGGCUCGAAAGCGUGGGGAGCGAA